GAAGAGGAAGGGCGGAGAACCAUGGCCGCUCUGGUUGCUCUGUGCAGUGGUAUAGGGAGGAAGAAUUUGACAACCGCGGCUGGCUGCUUCACGGAUCGCGGAACUCAAGCAGGUAAAACGUCCGGCAUAGCAUUAUAGCCGCUGAUUGUCGGUGGGGUCCUCGCCGUUAGCAAAAUGACUAUUUCAAUAGAACUAGGUUUGAGAUAAGUGGGAGGCUCGAGUCAUCGUAGACUAGUUUCCUAGAGCUGAAGAGGACUUUGAGGUGUAGUCAACCACUUUACCCCGUUACUUAUUCACUUUACAAAAACCUAUCGCCCCGACUCCUCAAUAAGACUUUCUGGACACUUGUUGGCUGUGGUUCUCUUGCAUCUGUUUCCAUCCGCUGCUUGGACGAAGCCUCUCAGGAAACAGUUAUGCUAUCUAGGCUCCUGUCUCCAAGGUGUAGUCAACUCUUUUUUUGUUUGUUUGUUUUAUGCUUCUUUGUCAAUGUCUUGAAUCUUUUUAUUUCUCCUUUGGAAUGACAGUACCAUUCUGUUGUUUCUGUACAUAUUUGAAUUUCAAUCCGUAACUGUAGAAAUGAGAAAGAAUUUAUAGGAGAGGAAGUAUAUAUGUCCUUUAUCCAAAGCCUUUGGAACCGCUCAUUUUGAGUCCUAUUAUGUCCCAAAUCUAACAGGUUGCUAACUAAUCAUUGAAAAGAAUGUUUGAUAUUGUGCCCUUUGAUUAUCUAGCAUCUUUAAAAACGUAAAUCUUGGUUAGAUAUGCAGCGAAUGAAAACAAUUGUGUUGUCGCCAUUUUCUCUUUAGUUUCUGUGAUUUGGAGACGAUGUUUUUCACAGUUUGAACAGGUAACCAGCAAUGAGGACCUGGUAAGAUUUCGUUUUCUUUUUUUAAAGAAGACAUUAUUUUAUUAUUUGUAUGUAUGUGGGGGAGGGGAGUUGUGGAAGCCAGAAGAGGGCAUUGGAUUCUCCUGGAGCUGGAACGAGGUGGUCGUGAGCCACUGGGUGUGGGUGCUGGGAUUCAAACCCUGUACUUAGUAACAUUAGGGAGUACUUUUAACCACUGACACCUAUCCAGCCCCAGGUCCCCCUCCCCCCAUAUUACUAAUUCAUUUCCAAAUUCAGCCUAAUUUUUAAUAUUUGGAAUUCAAUUAUAGGACAAAAUAAUGGUUAUCUUUUAUUGACUAUAGUCACUUGUGUUUUGUAGAGAAUUCCUAGAUUCAGUCUGUAAUGUAUUCUUCUUCAUAGAUAUUAAAUAUAAGGAUACAUGAUUUGAGAAUAUCUAAAUAUAGCUUCGGUGGGUAGGAUAAUUGUAGGUAAUAGAAACCUGACAGGCUACCUUGAUAAAAGAUCCAAAUUCAAGUUUUACAGUAAGACAUUCAACUAGUUGCUUCUUAACUAUAGGUGUAUUUUUAUGGGUUUCAAGUGUGAACAGGGAUGUGGGAGCCUAAUCACAGCACACGAGAAUUUAGCUGGAGCUGAGAAGGAAUACAGCUUAUAUUCAAGGCAAGCUAGAUAUGGUGGUAUACACGUACUGUGACAGCACUUAGGAAGCUCUGAGGCAAGAGGAGCUUGUGAGUUGGAUACAUCCUGGACUACAACAAAACCAAUCACUGUUGUGUCUUUUGGCUAAAAUCAAGUGUAAAAACCCAAAAUCUUAAAAGAUUAUGUUAGAUACCAAAGCAGUUGUCUAAACACAUGCGACUCCACCUUAGUCAUCUAAUUCAUGCAUCAUACUUUAAAAUAAAGGAAAUUUACAUUUCCUUUUUUAGGUCAUGUGACUAAUGAAAAUUCUGUUUCUUUCCCACAGAAAAAUUCGGUCACCCAGUCAUACUCCUUUAUCACAAUUAAGGAAAACUAUAGAUAUCAAAGCCAUUUCUAAAUUAAGACCCUGUGCCAGAAUGCGUUGGUACAACAUGUAAUUAAAGCAUUUGGGAGGCCGGCGUAGAAGGAUGGGGAGUUUGAGAUCACCAUGUGCUACAUGGAGAGUUGUAGGACAGCGGAGCUACAUAGUGAGACCCUAUUUCAAGAAACACAAGAAAGAAACACACACAUACUCAUUCAAAAAAACAGAAAACAGGGACAUAGAAAAGGGAUUGUGGGGCUGGUGAGAUGGCUCAGUGGGUAAGCGUACCCGACUGCUCUUCCAAAGGUCCGGAGUUCAAAUCCCAGCAACCACAUGGUGGCUCACAACCAUUCGUAACGAGAUCUGACGCCCUCUUCUGGAGUGUCUGAAGACAGCUACAGUGUACUUACAUAUAAUAAAUAAAUAAAUCUUUAAAAAAAAAAAAGGGAUUGUGGU
Molecule: long non-coding RNA, 2297 nt
Filed under: Mus musculus (house mouse)
Lineage: Eukaryota; Metazoa; Chordata; Mammalia; Rodentia; Muridae
Description: long non-coding RNA chr5:100798748-100801045
Source: RNAcentral